AGCGUAGGUGGCCUAACAUGUCAACUGUGAAAACCCGGAGCUCAACUCCGGACUUGCAGUUGAAGCUGGUAGGCUUGAGGACGGUAGAGGAAGACGGAACUGCCAGUGUAGGGGUAAAAUCCUUAGAUAUUGGCAGGAACGCCGGUGACGAAGGUGGUUUUCUGGGCCGGUUCUGACACUGAUGCUCGAAAGCCAGGGGAGCGAACG
This 207-nucleotide ribosomal RNA is filed under the name uncultured Mesotoga sp. RNAcentral's name for it is "partial 16S ribosomal RNA". It matches the Rfam family "Bacterial small subunit ribosomal RNA", at positions 568 to 774 of the family's 1533-position model. The record is from RNAcentral. Lineage: Bacteria; Thermotogati; Thermotogota; Thermotogae; Kosmotogales; Kosmotogaceae.